GAUGAACGCUGGCGGCGUGCCUAAUACAUGCAAGUCGAGCGAACGGACGAGAAGCUUGCUUCUCUGAUGUUAGCGGCGGACGGGUGAGUAACACGUGGAUAACCUACCUAUAAGACUUGGAUAACUUCGGGAAACCGGAGCUAAUACCGGUUGAUAUUUUGAACCGCAUGGUUCAAAAGUGAAAGACGGUCUUUCUGUCACUUAUAGAUGGCUCGGCGCUGCAUUAGCUAGUUGGUAAGGUAACGGCUUACCAAGGCAACGAUGCAUAGCCGACCUGAGAGGGGGAUAGGCCACACUGGAACUGAGACACGGUCCAGACUCCUACGGGAGGCAGCAGUAGGGAAUCUUACGCAAUGGGCGAAAGCCUGACGGAGCAACGCCGCGUGAGUGAUGAAGGUCUUCGGAUCGUAAAACUCUGUUAUUAGGGAAGAACAUAUGUGUAAGUAACUGUGCACAUCUUGACGGUACCUAAUCAGAAAGCAACGGCUAACUACGUG
RNAcentral lists this ribosomal RNA (497 nucleotides) under uncultured bacterium. RNAcentral describes it as "partial 16S ribosomal RNA". It matches the Rfam family "Bacterial small subunit ribosomal RNA", at positions 28 to 507 of the family's 1533-position model. The record is from RNAcentral.